This 2863-nucleotide long non-coding RNA is filed under the name Citrus sinensis (sweet orange). RNAcentral describes it as "long non-coding RNA (CSIN_LNC005394)". Lineage: Eukaryota; Viridiplantae; Streptophyta; Magnoliopsida; Sapindales; Rutaceae. The record is from RNAcentral.
GAAGUGGAGCUUGGUGGAAUGCAGAAUAACAUACAACGGAUAGAACAAGGCAUGAACGAUAAAUUCCACCACUUGGAAGCAAUGAUUAGCAAACUGGUCGAGUCAUUCAGCCUAUCUCAAGGAGUUAUGAACCAACAAGAUCAGGCAGGAUCUUUACGUCCAGGCCGAGGGGAGAGUGAAGGGGAACGACAACAAUUUCCACCACAAGUAGCCAAGCUCGAAUUUCCGCGAUAUUCAGGUGGUGAUCCUACAGAAUGGUUUAACCGUGUUACUCAGUUUUUUGAUUAUCAGCAGACUGCCGAUGAUCAGCGAGUUGUGUAUUUGAUAAUUUUUCUUGUGAUUUCAAUUAUCGCAGCACGUAAAUGUUUUUUUAGCAUCAAGAGAUAUAUUACCUUCAGCAACAACUUCAGGAACCAUGUAGGCCGCUUUCUGAUCAAUCUUGUGUAUUUUGAUUUUGACAGUAAAAGGAACUACUUAACGGCUAAAAUUCAGAAUGCUGGUAAACACUUUGUGUAUUUGAUAAUUUGAGGUUUUUUUUUUUUAAGAACUUGCAGCAAGAUUGCAAGGUUACGAGCAGAGCAGCAUAUAAUUUGUUUGAAACGACCCGCCUCGAAUCCCCCCAGGUGAGUCUAUCUAGUCUCAUCAAAACAGACUUGAUAAUAAUUCUAUUCGUAAAGAUUCUGCCGAAAAUUCGGCAGAGUCUCCUUUAUAUAUAUACUACUCCCAAUCUACAAAUAUGAAUAUAACACUCUCAAUACAAUUCAAGAUACAACAAACUCCAGUGCUCAACAUCCUCAACUAAAAUGCUGAGUUUUAUAUCUCCAGGGUCUCAAAAGAUAAUAUUAUAACUAAUAUUAAUAUCUCAGUUUAUUCUUAAUCCCAAAAGAAGAAUAUAACAAAAUUAUACAAUCCCAAAAGAACAAGAUGACCAAGAUGUCCUAACAAAAACAUCUAUAUCUUCUAACACCAUCACGUGGCCAAGAUUCAAAAUAUAUUUACAGUUGCUAGGUCGGUCUGGUGUACCUGCAACCUCCUAGUGAGGGGGGAAAAAUAUAAUUAAAACGGGGUGAGUUUAAAACUCAGUGAGUGGAUAGUAGUUUUGAAAAUUAAUUCUUACUUUAAAAGAAAUAAUCAUCUCAUUUCCAAACACGAUUUCAUUAAACCAUAAGCGAGAAACCAAUAAUAAAUCAUUAAACAUUUAAAUCAGAUUACUAACCAUGGAAAUCAUAUCACAAUAUCAUAUAGAAUUCACAAAUCUGAAAAUCGUCACCAAACAAGUACCCCGGAAAAUAAUCUCAUCAUAUCCGGACCUCAACGGACGGGCAAUGACGUACUAUCUGGGUAACGUCACGCCCCGGAGCUACACGGAUAGAUAGGGAAAUACCAUCUCAUAUCUCAUCAUAUCUCAUCAUAUCUGUGCAUGCAUAAUAAAACGCCCAAGCACACGGCCCAAAGCCUCUAUGUGUACUCAGACGGGCCCCAAAGGCCUGUAACUCAUCUGUAUCAUCUGUAUCUCAAUAUCUGUAUCAUAUGUAUCUCAAUAUCUGUCUGUAUCUCAUAUCUGUAUCUCUAUAAUCAUCAUACUGUAUGCAUGUGCCCCCAAAAGGUAAAAGCGUCCAAACACACGGCCCAAAGCCUCUAUGUGUGUUCAGAUGGGCCCCAAAGGCCUCUCAUCUCAUAUCACAUGUAUCACUGUAUCUGGAGGGGAAGGGUACUGUCUAAUGAUUUCAAAAACAAUCAUUAUACUCAUAGUCACAUACAUUUUAAUCAUACUUUAAAUCAUACCACAUUUGAAUCCACGUUUCUCAUCUUUAAAAUACUAUCAUGCUUAUUCAAAGUCGAUACAUAAAAUCAUUAACCAAACAUUUAAUAAAAUAUCAAUGUGUGAAUAAAAUCCAUUUCGAAGAAAUCAUUAAAUCAGAACAUUUAAAAUACUUAUUUCUCAAACAUAUUUUACUAUCAUAAUUAACUAUGAAAAUAGGUUUUGUAUAUUCCACUCACAGUGAUGGUGUUCACAGUCGGUUAUCGUCCACGUCCGCGGAUCGGUUCUGGCUCGCAGAUCCUCCUAAAUCAAGGAAACGACAUAAGUAUUUUCCGUAAAUCGAAAUUACGACUCAAUUUAUGCAAUAAACUCGAAACGAACAUCUAUCCAUAAUUGACAACUCCCGUGUCCAUAAAAUUACCAAAAUGCCCUUGAGUCCGUAAAUCAUUAACAUACUUCGAAAUCGUAAAUCACCGAAUUACCCUCGAAAUCGUAAUUACACCCAAUCCUCAAUUCUAGGAAUUACUAAAAUAUUCACAGGCUCAGAAAUUACAAAAUUGCCCUCAUAGUGUGAAAUUACCAAAAUGCCCUUGCCGGUCAACGGUCACCGAAAAUUGGUCAACGCUGGCUAGGAAGCUCAAAUCUGAAAGUUCCAAUCACGCUGAGUUCAAUGGUACCGGCGGUGAGCUCCAACGCGCGGCAACGGCGCCGGAAUCGAGCUCGGCAGUCGUGAAUUCCAACAAUCGACCGGCGGCAAAACAAUGACUCUCGGUGCCUAUGGAUGGUCGGAAAUGGAAGAGGGAGUCGUGGGGAACAAAAUCCAACUGGUGGUGUCACCCAAAAUCGGCGAAAAUCCUGGCGGAACAAAGUGAAAUAGUCGCGGGUUUCAAGCUUCGAUCGCCGGCGUUCCGGUUAGUUUUCGGCGGCGAGGAUGGCAGGGGAACGACGGUCGGCUUCUAAGCUUCAGAUUGGUACCAAGCUCAGCCGAAACGGUGGCCGGAAAUGGGAGAUAUGGUCGGGUCAAGGUUGCGGGUUCCGGGUCGGGUUUUCGGGUCGGGUUGACGGCUUCUCUCUCUCACUCUCUCACACACGUGUAGCUUC